UUCAUUUUGAUAUUUUCUGCAGUCUAAACAUUAAUUUAAAUAUGAAUAUAAUUUGUAUGCACAGAUACUUGAGCUACAAUUUCAUGCCCAUAACUUGGACCCAAUGUAUUACAAUUCCUAUUUGAAGAAAAAAGUCUGUCCAUUAGGUUAGGUGGUGGAUAAAAAUGUUAGUGGUAAUUUUCAGAUUUCUUUUGAUCUUGAAAGACUUCUUUUAGUGUUCAUAUUUUCCGGCAAGUUACCGGAAUUCAGCCGAAAUCCGACAAGUCCACCACCCAAAAAGACCCCGAUUGCUCUAACCCAUUACUUUUUCCAUUUCUUCCCGGUGAAAAGUUCACCCAACGCUUCUCCUCUUCGCUGUUGCUGCCAGCAGCUCUCUCUAGCAGCAGCAAACAACAACAAGGGACCCAUUUUCCCCGGCCAAACCACCACCUGAAACCCCUCAAACCGCCAGCAAACAACAACCAAACUAAACCCCAACCUCCCCUUUUCUUCCCUUUUGAGUGAGUUUUUGCAAACAACCAAAAUCCUCAUCGCUCUUCAGCUCUAACCGGCCACAAAAUCGCUGCUAAACCUAGCCCCGUUCCUUCACGUACAGCUAACCAAACAGAACCCUUCCCCUUUAACCAUUUUUUCGUAUUUUUCUACUUGUUCCUUUGGCAGGUCUCAAGUGAGCUCGACUCCGGCCCGCACUACCAUGUGAAAUGGAUCUCCAACCAAUGCCAUCACUGGCCGACCAACAUCGAAAAAUAGCAACGCCAACUCUGGCGAACAGAAUUAGUGAGCUCACAAGUCCAAAUCAGCAACACAACUUCAUUCCGACAAAUGGAUCUGGCCGAAGGGGUUCAAACUCCGGCCGUUGUUAUUUUUCGAUAGAAUCUUUGUUUUCUUUGAUUAAGAAAAAUGUUUGGUUUGCUACUCUACUUUGCCCUCUUUUUAACUUUUUGAGUCAUUUCGGUUUUGCUUGUAUUUAUUUAUGGACUCAUUACUCGCUUCAUCCAAUAGUUGCUGCUUUAUUUUUGUUUA
Molecule: long non-coding RNA, 1023 nt
Organism: Solanum lycopersicum (tomato)
Lineage: Eukaryota; Viridiplantae; Streptophyta; Magnoliopsida; Solanales; Solanaceae
Source: RefSeq, a predicted model, not a curated record